Molecule: ribosomal RNA, 440 nt
Filed under: uncultured bacterium
Lineage: Bacteria
Description: partial 16S ribosomal RNA
Rfam family: Bacterial small subunit ribosomal RNA
Source: RNAcentral
CCUACGGGAGUCAGCAGUAGGGAAUAUUGCUCAAUGGGGGAAACCCUGAAGCAGCAACGCCGCGUGGAGGAUGCAGGUUUUCGGAUUGUAAACUCCUUUUGUUAGAGAAGAUAAUGACGGUAUCUAACGAAUAAGCACCUGCUAACUCCGUGCCAGCAGCCGCGGUAAUACGGAGGGUGCAAGCGUUACUCGGAAUCACUGGGGGGAAAGAGGGCGUAGGCGGGAAAGGAAGUCUGAUGUGAAAUCCUAUGGCUUAACCAUGGAACUGCAUUUGAAACUGUUAUUCUAGAGUAUGGGAGAGGUAGGUGGAAUUCUUGGUGUAGGGGUGAAAUGCGUAGAGAUCACGAGGAAUACUCAUUGCGAAGGCGGCCUGCUAGAACAUAACUGACGCUGAUGCGCGAAAGCGUGGGGAGCGAACAGGAUUAGAUACCCCAGUAGUC